AAUCAACGCUGGCGGCGUGCCUAACACAUGCAAGUCGAACGCGAAAGUUCCUUCGGGGAUGAGUAGAGUGGCGUCCGGGUGAGUAACGCGUGGGUAAUCUACCCUUGGGUGGGGAAUAACUAGUCGAAAGAUUAGCUAAUACCGCAUAAUGCAGCGGCUCGAUAUCGAGACAGUUGUUAAAGCAGAAAUGCGCCUAAGGAGGAGCCUGCGUCUGAUUAGCUUGUUGGUGAGGUGAUGGCUCACCAAGGCUGCGAUCAGUAGCUGGUCUGAGAGGACGGCCAGCCACAAUGGCACUGAAACACGGGCCAUACUCCUACGGGAGGCAGCAGUGGGGAAUUUUUGCG
RNAcentral lists this ribosomal RNA (344 nucleotides) under uncultured bacterium. RNAcentral describes it as "bacterial SSU rRNA". It matches the Rfam family "Bacterial small subunit ribosomal RNA", at positions 32 to 369 of the family's 1533-position model. The record is from RNAcentral.